RNAcentral lists this ribosomal RNA (404 nucleotides) under bacterium. RNAcentral's name for it is "partial 16S ribosomal RNA". It matches the Rfam family "Bacterial small subunit ribosomal RNA", at positions 355 to 777 of the family's 1533-position model. RNAcentral also lists the same sequence under 2 other names. The record is from RNAcentral.
UGGGGAAUAUUGCACAAUGGGGGAAACCCUGAUGCAGCGACGCCGCGUGAACGAAGAAGGUAUUCGUAUCGUAAAGUUCUGUCCUAUGGGAAGAUAAUGACAGUACCAUAGAAGAAAGCUCCGGCUAAAUACGUGCCAGCAGCCGCGGUAAUACGUAUGGAGCGAGCGUUGUCCGGAAUUAUUGGGCGUAAAGGGUACGCAGGCGGUUUAAUAAGUCGAAUGUUAAAGAUCGGGGCUCAACCCCGUAAAGCAUUGGAAACUGAUAAACUUGAGUAGUGGAGAGGAAAGUGGAAUUCCUAGUGUAGUGGUGAAAUACGUAGAUAUUAGGAGGAAUACCAGUAGCGAAGGCGACUUUCUGGACACAAACUGACGCUGAGGUACGAAAGCGUGGGGAGCAAACAGGA